This 200-nucleotide ribosomal RNA is filed under the name uncultured bacterium. Its description in RNAcentral is "partial 16S ribosomal RNA". It matches the Rfam family "Bacterial small subunit ribosomal RNA", at positions 8 to 235 of the family's 1533-position model. The record is from RNAcentral.
AGAGUUUGAUCCUGGCUCAGGACGAACGCUGGCGGUGUGCCUCACACAUGCAAGUCGAACGGGGUAGCAAUACCCAGUGGCGGACGGGUGAGUAACACGUGGGAAUCUGCCUCAGAGAGGGGGAUAGCAGACCGAAAGGUCUAUUAAUACCCCAUAUGCCGAAAGGUGAAAGGAGCAAUCCGCUUUGAGAUGAGCCCGCG